Anguilla anguilla (European eel) is the source of this 2846-nucleotide long non-coding RNA. RefSeq lists it as uncharacterized. The record is from RefSeq and is a predicted model, not a curated record. The transcript has 2 exons. NCBI's taxonomy places the organism in Eukaryota, Metazoa, Chordata, Actinopteri, Anguilliformes, Anguillidae.
CUGCGAGUCUCCAUCAUUGCUCUCCGCGCAAAGAGGAUAAAACACCAACGACUCUGAGACAUCGGCGUCAACUCAGCCUCCCGCUGGCAACAGCCAAAAACCUCCCAACUCCAACUGAUAGGGAGCGAGGAAAGCGUUCUAAUCCCCUCAUGAAUAGUUCAUGACUCCCGCGAUCGGUGCGGAAGGGUUAAUGCCCAAAUCCAGAUGGUUUUUUUUCUCCACCGCGUAAUUAACACUGUUUCAUUUUUACGGGAUCAAACGACAGAAGGGAAGCGGGGGGCUUGUUUUGAUACGGCGUUAUUGGCCGCGCCUGAAGCCCCUUUUGCGUGUUUGUGUGCGAUGGCGCAGUGAUCCGGAUUCCCGCUCUGUGAUGGCGCAGCGGCGUGAACUGUCGCGUUCGGCCUUUCCCAUGAACCAAGACAGGUGGGUAGCCGCCUGGAUGAAUGGGAACUAAUACCGGAGCACUUAAGGCUUAAAUCUCCAAUUAAAAAUGCAAAAAAAAAGUAUUAACAAUAAUCAAGAUUAUGUUAAUUAUUCUAAUGUAUGCAGUCUCCGAAACUAGUGCAAACAUAGCAGCAUCCUCAUCUAGUUAAAUCGAAACGCCGUAUUGUAGGCCUAAUCAACAUCAACCUGAAAACAAAGAGAAAUUUACAGCCUCCGGCGUUAGCUUGCAAAUGCACUUUAAUCUUAACGGCUCCUUAAAAAAGCUGCCGGGUCCAUCAAUAGAAUAUUUAGUGUAAUCUCCCUACAUUCUUGUUCAGUAAAUAAAUAUUAUUUUCCUAUGGUGUUUCAGAACCUGUAUAUCACAUUUCAUAAUUUUAUAGAUAUAUAUUUGUUAGUAGAGUUAAUCUCAACAAGUAGCACAUUAGCAACUUUGCUAUUGAUUUUAUCGCCUUCCUCCGUGCACCAUCCUCAUCCUCCUCUCACUAUCCUCUCCCUCCCUGUUAUACGCGCGGACGUCACCCUCCGGAGCCAACCUGGGCAGUUUCCCUUUCCCGAGACACAAGCAGAAACAUGGCACCCGUCGGCGAUAGCCAAGGCGGGAACAUUCCGGAUCAGGGGGCUUUGUCGGUUUGGGAGAGGGAUCGCCGCAGUCCGCUCCCGGGUGCCUUCGGCGGGGACAAUAGCCCGCCGGCAGGGUGGAGACCUCCUUUUUUUUUCGUCUCGGGCCGACUGUAAUGGGAUUAGAGGUUUAUUCCGACAAAGCCCAGACUGGGCCUUCCUCCCCCGCCCGCCUGCCCGGACCCUGCCGGGCUCCUGGCUGGAUCACGCCGCCCCAGUGCCUGCUGGGUGAAAUGGAGGGGAUGAUGGGAACUGGGACGGGACUUGGACGGGCGUGGAGGCAGUGGGGUCCAGGGAUCGACGUUCCCCCUGAAGCUCGCAAACUCCAGUGGUUACCGGAUGUAUUGCGACACCCGGUGUGCAUGAUCUGGUGCCAGAACAGCCCCUGUAGUCAAUCAUGGCGGCCUCCAUGGAACUGGUGAGGGGACGAUGUCUCCAGCUCUCACACGCCUCGAUGGUGAAGAGACGACCAGAGGACCAGAGCGGAGGAGGCUUGCGUGACUGAAGCACAGGGGAGUAAAACCCGAGGCGCAAGACUGCUCAUCGGUCCGGAUGCUGCUUUUCCACGGGGUACGUGUGAGCAAGCAUUGCCCCUCUUUCUACCCCAGUGCCCCCCUUUCUUACUCUGGUUGCGUCUAAUCUUGGAGGAUUGCCUUCACGCACUUCGUAUUGUAUCAUCGUUAUCACAACAAAAAGAUUGAGCUUCUGAUAUGAAUUUCGAUUUCCAGAGACUGAGACGGGAGAUCGAUCCUAAAUUGUUGCCUUUUUUUUGUUAUGAUUUAAUAUUUGCAGAGGUUAACCCCAUUAAAUCAAAAUGUCCAACCCUGUUUUAAAUAGACACACUCCCCACAAUGCAAAAAGAUCAUAAUGACAUCAUAGUGACAUAAUGUUCUUACACUUGCCUGUUCCACUGAAGUCACCACUGUGACUUAAAAGUCGGAGGCUACAUGUGAUUUUGCCUAUGGCAACCGGAGGCCCUCCGUUCUCUUCUGAUUGGAUGAUAGACUUGCAGUGAAGAUACAAGCAUGUAAACAAUCUGUUUUAAUUGGAUGAAUGACUCCCUCCCCCCUACCUAAGCUGUGGGAGCAAUCUGAUUCAAAAUGGCUGUUCUGCAUCACCCAGAGUGGGUGUCGCUCAUAGGUGGUGGGUGAGGUAUGGGAAAUGGUUUGACAUUGUGGAUGAUGAAGAUGGCGAAGAAGAGGAGGAUGAUGAUUGAUUUCAUUGUUGUUGUUAUUAUUUAUGGCGUUAUUUUGAUUUCAACUCUGCUCCAUGGAUGUAAAGUAAAAGAUGUAGAGAAUAUCUGCAGGAAGUGGGAUCCGGCAUCUGGCUCUUUCAUUGGUUUAUCACGGUCAGGGUCAAACCAAUCAGAUUUAAGGGAAAAGAGACAGUGUGGAUCCACCGGUGCAUUGUGAAAGGGGUAGAGAUGGGUCAUAAGAAUAUGAAAAAAAAGAUUCAACACCAUAAAAAAAUUAUAUCCAUAUCAGCCAAAUGAAAACUCCUAAUUUACAUCUGAUAUGAAAAUUCCCCAUUAUUUUACAACCAAAUUUUACUAAUUUUAAUCACUAUUUUAUCAACUUGCAUUUAACUGUGUCGCCUUUUACUUCUGGUUGUUCUUUUUUACUCUAUUAAUGUCCUUCAUUAUGUAUUUGCAUGUAUUGUCCGCCUUGACUUGCAUACAGGCACUUUAUAGUCAUGAACAUGGCUUCACAAUAAUUCUAAAUUUCUCUAAAAACAUUCUUUGCUUUGUACACCAGUCCAAAAAGUAAACAUUUCUGAUAAUUUUU